UUGGCCUACGGGGCGCAGCAGUGGGGAAUAUUGCACAAUGGGGGAAACCCUGAUGCAGCGACGCCGCGUGAAGGAAGAAGUAUUUCGGUAUGUAAACUUCUAUCAGCAGGGAAGAAAAUGACGGUACCUGACUAAGAAGCCCCGGCUAACUACGUGCCAGCAGCCGCGGUAAUACGUAGGGGGCAAGCGUUAUCCGGAUUUACUGGGUGUAAAGGGAGCGUAGACGGCGAUGCAAGUCUGAAGUGAAAGGCGGGGGCCCAACCCCCGGACUGCUUUGGAAACUGUAUAGCUGGAGUGCAGGAGAG
RNAcentral lists this ribosomal RNA (305 nucleotides) under uncultured bacterium. RNAcentral describes it as "bacterial SSU rRNA". It matches the Rfam family "Bacterial small subunit ribosomal RNA", at positions 334 to 656 of the family's 1533-position model. The record is from RNAcentral.